This 298-nucleotide long non-coding RNA is filed under the name Medicago truncatula (barrel medic). Its description in RNAcentral is "lncRNA gene3976". The record is from RNAcentral. Lineage: Eukaryota; Viridiplantae; Streptophyta; Magnoliopsida; Fabales; Fabaceae.
UCAUUUGUUGCUUAUCUUGUUGUCUUCAUAAAUCAUAAGAGUAGAUGUGUUGCUUUGUUCAUAAACUCUUAUAAUAGAUUUUGUUUUUAUUGUUGUUUAAGGACUUCAACAACUAAAAAAGAUUGUUCUACCUUGUGAUCUUCUCUUAUGUUUCCGUUGGGGAAUAAUCUUCAUGAUUUGCAAUUAAGAAUCACAAUAUAUCUUCUGUUCAUACCAAACUAUUUAUGCAGGUGGGGAAUUAUUUGUAGCACCAACUUUAAUUAGAUCGACGACGACUUCUUCAAUAUUCGACAUGUGU